UUCAGAGGUCCCGAGCGUUGUUCGGAUUUACUGGGCGUAAAGGGAGCGUAGGCAGUUCGGUAUGUCGAAUGUGAAAGCCCACAACUCAACUGUGGAAAUGCAUUCGAAACUGCCGGGCUAGAGUACUGGAGAGGAGAGCGGAAUUCUUGGUGUAGCGGUGAAAUGCGUAGAUAUCAAGAGGAACACCGGUGGCGAAGGCGGCUCUCUGGACAGAUACUGUCGCUGAGGCUCUAAAGUUAGGGGAGCAAACAGGAUUAGAUA
RNAcentral lists this ribosomal RNA (261 nucleotides) under uncultured prokaryote. RNAcentral describes it as "partial 16S ribosomal RNA". It matches the Rfam family "Bacterial small subunit ribosomal RNA", at positions 524 to 784 of the family's 1533-position model. The record is from RNAcentral.